This 253-nucleotide ribosomal RNA is filed under the name uncultured bacterium. RNAcentral describes it as "partial 16S ribosomal RNA". It matches the Rfam family "Bacterial small subunit ribosomal RNA", at positions 524 to 776 of the family's 1533-position model. The record is from RNAcentral.
UACGUAGGGGGCGAGCGUUGUCCGGAAUUAUUGGGCGUAAAGAGCGUGUAGGCGGUUCGGUAAGUCUGUCGUGAAAUCCUGAGGCUCAACCUCGGGCGUGCGAUGGAUACUGCCGGGCUAGAGGGUGGUAGAGGCGAGUGGAAUUCCCGGUGUAGCGGUGAAAUGCGUUGAUAUCAGAAGGAACGCCGGUGGCGAAAGCGACCCACUGGAUCUCUACUGACGCUGAGGCGCGAAAGCCAGGGGAGCAAACGGG